Long non-coding RNA from Cygnus atratus (black swan), 3401 nucleotides. RefSeq lists it as uncharacterized. The record is from RefSeq and is a predicted model, not a curated record. NCBI's taxonomy places the organism in Eukaryota, Metazoa, Chordata, Aves, Anseriformes, Anatidae. The transcript has 2 exons.
GCCAGCGACAGAAUCACCCGUCAAUCCGCGGCCAGCGGGCUAGCCCCGCCCACCCCCUGCCGCCAUUGGCCAGUCUCUCCGUGCUUUAAGGGGGGUAGGGCGGGAAGGGGAGCUUUUUCCGCUUCCGGUGCUGGCGGCGGGGGGGUCGCGGGUGGACGUGGGGGGCGGGCGUGGCGGUGGUUGAGCUGCGGCCGGCUGAGCUGAGGGUGCUCAGGAGCACUGUGGGAGGCGUGCGGAGGUGCCCCCCCUCAGCCGGGGGAGCGCCGACUUCACUUCGGGGCGCGUCGGGUAGCAGCUCAGUCUGCGAGGAGCUCCUGGGCAGGCCCUGAGGCCUUCCCUGGUUCUUCUCCGAGCGCUUGGAGAUGAGCACAGGAGAGUUCUGCAGCAGCGGUGUCCGGGCGAUAAUGGUUUAAAUUGCCUGCUGAGAAGAAAUAUUAAUGGGACUUCCAUGAGACUCCUGAUGUUUUGUUGAUGUUCCUGUUAGAAGACCUAUUAUCACCUCCUUUUGAAAACAGCAAUCAAAGUUGAUACUCAAACUGCAAGGCUUAAACAGGCAGUCACAAAUAAGAUUACUUCCAGGCAUUCUGCAGCUGAGCAAAAUGAGUUCUGAGUCAGUGGUUUUGAGGUUCUUCUGUAGUACACAAGCAGUUAGACACCUAAGAAUAUUACAGUUUUUUCUUCCUUUUCGAAGCUGGGUACCUGUGUCUUCGUGACUUGUGGCAGAGGCUGGAAGUGAAGCCCCUUAUGUGUGAGAACAGUUGAGCUCUUAAGUGGUUUUAUCUUGUGAAGCUUCUUAAUUGGCAUGGUUUGAGCUCCUGUUCUGAAUGCCAGGUAAAUAAUUUGAGGCAUACAAUCUGGGCAAUAUCUGGUGGCAUUAACGUAUCCUAAACUUUGAGAGCAUUAGGAAUGCUUAAAAUGUACCUACAGUUCUGGCCUGCACAGUUAAAAUCUGUGUGGCAUGCUUAAAUUGUGAAUGCUGAAGAAGCAGCUGUGAACAGUUCCCAAUUAUUUGGGAGAUGUACUAGUUUGAAGAUGUUGCGCAACAAGCAGCAGAACUGUUGAAAUGCUAUAUUUUUUUCUGGUAAAAACUCAAGUUUCAUGGGGAACUGACAUUUUAGAAUCUGAAGUGUAUCUAACUUUUUCUGGAUCUAACCAGGAGACCUAUAAGCAAAUUUGUUUCUGAACUAGAUGAAUAAUUGAAUCACACUUACACAUUCAUAGGAUACCCCCAAGAGGGUGUUUGCAUUAGCUUUAAAAUUUAACAGUCCAUUUCAUAAUUGACAAAGGCAAAGGAUAUAUAUGAAAUUACGUAAGUCAGUUGUAACAGAUGGAUGAUCUAUGUGAUCUGAAUGAGUUGAUUUGGAUCAUGUAAGAAUGCCUUUGGCAGGGAGAAGUCGUGCUGGUAAUCAAAGCAAAAAUGUUUGAGCCCAGCAUUUAACAAGUAGAACAGAACGUUCAAGCUUGAAUGCAGACCUUGAAACUAGAUACUCUUUAUGAAGAUUUCAAGCUUGACUCAAUAACACUUCCCAGUAUAUGCCAGUUCCUGCUAAGUCUGCUUUUGGAAUUAAGCAAUAGAAAGAGACUUGGAUUCUAAUACAUGCAUCUCCUGUUCUUUGUGUUCACUUUUGACCAGUGUUGAAGAACAGGGUCCUGGGCCCUGAGCAUCAGGCCUAACUACGUAUGGUAAUCUUUACAAAUUGUUAUGUACUUAUGUUGUGGUUCAGCCCGGCUGGCAGUCAAACACCACACAGCUGUUUGCUCACCCUCCCCCCUCCCUCUCCAGGAUGGGGGAGAGAAACGGGAAAGUGAAGCCUGUGAGUUGAGAUAAAGACAGUUUAUUAAGACAGGGAAAAGAAUAACAACAACAAUAAUAAUAAUAAUAGUAUUAAUAGUAAUAAUGUGUACGAAAUAAGUGAUGCACAAUGCAAUUGCUCACCACCCGCUGACCGAUGCCCAGCCUAUCCCCGAGCAGCCGGCCCCCCACCCCGGCUAGCCACCCCUAUAUAUUGUUCAGCAUGACGUCAGAUGGUAUGGAAUACCCCUUUGGCCAGUUUGGGUCAGCUGUCCUGGGUCUGUCCCCUCCCAGCUCCUGCUGCACCCCCAGCCUGCUCGCUAGCAGGACAGAGAGAGGCUGAAAAGUCCUUGGCUUGGUGUAAGCAUUGCUCUACAACAAUUAAAACAUCAGCAUGUUAUCAGCGCUCUUCUCAUCCUAAUCCAAAACAUAGCACCCUGCCAGCUACUAGGAGGGAAAUUAACUCUGUCCUACCUGAAACCAGGACAACUUAAAAUGCUGGAAGUGGCUUCUGGUUUUUCAUAAGCAUGGGAAAACCCUAGGGCAUCUUUUGCCUGUAAGGAAUUCUUGUUCCCUAGUAAAGCCCUGGAGCAUGUUCAUGGCACAGCUACCAUGAUAGGAGUGCUUUUGUUGGCUUGGUUUGUUUUGAGAAUGUGCAGCUGCAGAGGCAAGAUCUCUAAUGUGCAUUUACUUACUGUCCACGAGGGGGCUCUGGCAGGCCGGGGCUGAAUGCUCAAGGUCCCCAACGGAGUUAGUUCACUAAAAUGGCAGGCUGUAGCAAUAGGAUGCCAGUUGCCCCUGGGGUGAUUAAAUCUGUUCUGCAAAGUAAUUCUGUCUCAUUGUAAGAAAUACUACAUCUAUUGGAAAAACACUUCCCGAGCUUUAAUAACAGCAGUGGGUAAAUGAUCUUUUCCAUGGGAGAGGGCAGAUGCUACCCAACGUGUCAUUACAUGGGGAUUUCAGCUGUAUGAGAAAUUUCUCCAAAUAAAAAUUCAAGUGGUUUGCACAUGUCAGCAUGUCUGUAAAGUACCUGGAAUUGUUACAGAGAACCUUAAGUAUGUUUUUAUCUUAGCAGUGUAAACUUAGUGCUGUGACAUUUCAAUAAAGAUUUGUGGCUUUUGUUACACAGCCUUUGGUCUUUUUUUCUAGGAAUGUGUUUACAUGUUUUAACAGAUUUUUGACUUCUUAUAACUUCCCUUUGAAAAAGAACUGCAAUCUAACUUGUGCUGUGAGCGUAAAUCAUGUGAAUUGCUGUUGCUUAAUCUUUGCUUGACAAAUCUGUAUUAAAUUCUGGGCAGCAUGGAAGUUUUUUGUUUAAACAUUUGUCUUCAGUUGUUACUGUUAGCAAUGUAACUUUGUUAGAUGUAGCAUAAAUAAGCCCACUUCUGUAAAUGUAUAUAUAUUGAGGGUAAUUCUCAGCUCUGGAAAUGCUGAGGCUAAUUUUCAGCUAUACACAUUUGUGGCAGUGCAGAAGUGACAUUGCAGGAAUGAAGAAAGUGAGGCUUAAGUGAGAAACUAAAAUGAACCAAUAUGAUCAAUGACAUUAUAAAAAUCUAGUCCCGCUAUUACUUGAAGUAUUGCGCAGAAUAAAAUCUCCCUUGCUUGUGUA